UUAAGUUUUUAGGUUAUGAAAUUUUAUAUUGAUUUUUUGUUGAAGUUAUAAUUAGCGGCACAUUGGGAUUUUUUUUAUUUGUUUACCAAUAUCAUUUACUAUUAUUAGAUAUUUAGUGAUAUUUGUUUAGUAAUGUUUAACAUAUUAAUUAAUUUAAUUUCAUAGGUUGUGAUUUUUGUGGUGAGAUUUUAGAGAGUAUUUUGCAUCAAAAUUCCAAUAUCAAUCACACAUUUGAGCGAAUUUGAUUACUAAGUGAAGUAACUUUGCUAGCUUUUGGAUUAAAGAUUGCAAGAGAAGAAUAUAUGGAUAAACAGUGGAUGUCAGCAAAUAGGUUAUCUGCGGAAUUUAGGAACGGGGUUGAUUUGUUCUUAAGGUUUUGUUCGGAAAAUGUGAAAGACCCAAAUUUUACUUAUUGUCCAUGUCUUAAGUGUGGAAAUGUUAAAAAGAUGGAUCUUAAAAAGAUUAAAGAACACUUAUAUUUCAAUGGGAUCGACAAGAGUUACAGAAUUUGGUAUUACCAUGGGGAGAUAGCUCCGAU
This is a long non-coding RNA of Humulus lupulus (European hop), 538 nucleotides long. RefSeq lists it as uncharacterized. The record is from RefSeq and is a predicted model, not a curated record. The transcript has 3 exons. NCBI's taxonomy places the organism in Eukaryota, Viridiplantae, Streptophyta, Magnoliopsida, Rosales, Cannabaceae.